Molecule: small nuclear RNA, 77 nt
Organism: Amphiprion ocellaris (clown anemonefish)
Lineage: Eukaryota; Metazoa; Chordata; Actinopteri; Pomacentridae
Gene: U2
Rfam family: U2 spliceosomal RNA
About the family: U2 is a small nuclear RNA (snRNA) component of the spliceosome (involved in pre-mRNA splicing).
Source: Ensembl
AUCGCUUCUCGGCCUUUUGGCUAAGAUCAAGUGUAGUAUCUGGCUUCACGACAGUCACUGCUGAGCGGAUACCGUUU